RNAcentral lists this ribosomal RNA (173 nucleotides) under uncultured bacterium. Its description in RNAcentral is "partial 16S ribosomal RNA". The record is from RNAcentral.
CCCACGGAAUUACCGGUGCUAUUCAUACAGUACCUUCAACACCCUUCACGAAAGGUGGUUUAUUCCUGUAUAAAAGCAGUUUACAACCCAUAAGGCCGUCUUCCUGCACGCGGGAUGGCUGGAUCAGGCUCUCACCCAUUGUUCCAAUAUUCCUCACUGCUGCCUCCCGUAGG